Gasterosteus aculeatus aculeatus (three-spined stickleback) is the source of this 1514-nucleotide long non-coding RNA. Lineage: Eukaryota; Metazoa; Chordata; Actinopteri; Perciformes; Gasterosteidae. The record is from Ensembl.
GGAGAAGAGGAAGAGCAGCAACAUCACAGCAGUACAGGGUUAUUAUUGUCAUUAUUUAGCCAGGGAUGAUUUAUUGUAGAGUGUGACAGCGGAGCUGAAGGAGUCUGUUGGAGAAAGUGCUCCGCUGUCCCUGUAGCAGGUGGUGGAGGGGGUGGUCAGGAUUAUCCAAUAUGGAUAACAGUUUCUUCAGUGACAUCCCGUCCAACACUUUUUCCAAGCUGUCCUGUUUGCAGCCAAUGAUGGAGCCGGCGUUCUUAACAAGUUUGUUAAGUCUGUUGGUGUCACCGGCUCCAAUGCUGCUCCCCCAGCAGACCACGGCGAAGUACAAAGCACUGGCCACAACAGACUGAUAGAACAUCUCCAACAUCUUGCUGCACACAUGGAAAGAUCGAAGCUUCCUCAGGAAAAAGAGUCGACUCAUCCCCUUCCUGUAGACAGCGUUGAUGUUGGUCUUCCAGUUCAGUCUGUCGUCGAUGGAGACACCCAGGUACUUGUAGUCCUCGACCAUGGCCACCUCCUCUCCCAGAACCCUCAGCGGUAGCGGAGCCGUUGUCUUCCUCCCGAAGUCCACCACCAUCUCUCUGGUCUUGGCGAGAUGGUCACUGGUGACACAUAUAGCACGAUAUCGAGGCGUAGUCGGGGGGAGGAGGGUCUACAGUUUGGGGGGCUGCUGAUGGCAGAUGAUGUGGUCCUGAUGGCAUCUUCCGUCUGUGACCUCCAACUCUCACUGGAGCGGUUUGCAGCAGAGUGUGAAGCGGUCCGGAUGAUUAGCACCUCUAAAUCUGAGGCCAUGGUUCUCAGCAGGAAUGAAUUGCCUACUCCAGGUAGGGAAUGUGUCCUUACCCCAAGUGAAAUGAAGUACCUCGGGGUCUUAUGAGGGGAAGAUGGAGUGUUUGGCUGUAGAAUUGGAGCAGCGGGGGCAGGUUUCCUCAGGAGAGUGGCUGGCGUCUCCCUUAGGGAUAGGGUAAGAAGCUCAGCCAUUCGUGAGGAGCUCGGAAUAGAGCCACUGCUCCUUUGCAUUGAAAGGAGCCAGUUGAGGUGGUUUGGCCAUCUGGUAAGGAUGCCCCCUGAAUAGGUGUUCCAGGAUCGGCCAGCUGGGAAGAGGCCCCGGGAAAGACCCAGGACUAGGUGGAGAGAUUAUAUCUCUGCACUGGCCUGGGAACUGUGAUGGAAAAAUUGGUAUAACCCUUCAAAAUGUUUUAUUGAAUGAACAAGGUUAUACAUUGGAAAUGCUGGGAUGGUGUGGCCAUGAUGAAGAAUUGAGACGUCCCGGUUAGAGGAGUCUACGAAAUGGCGGCGACCGUACAAUCCACCCCGAGACCCCGCCAACAACGUCAUCCUCUCUGUCCGACGUGAGUUCUACGGUGGCGGAUUUCCAGAGUUCCACCUCGUCAUCAGCCAGCACACUUUGUCUCGAUUCCAGCAGCUGUAAAAACAACAAUGAAUCAGUACUGUGCGAUGCGUAUGGACACAACACAUCUAUCAAUGCACCUGAAAAAAGUCAGCAAAUAAAC